Molecule: ribosomal RNA, 440 nt
Filed under: uncultured bacterium
Lineage: Bacteria
Description: partial 16S ribosomal RNA
Rfam family: Bacterial small subunit ribosomal RNA
Source: RNAcentral
CCUACGGGUGGCAGCAGUGGGGAAUAUUGCACAAUGGGGGAAACCCUGAUGCAGCGACGCCGCGUGAGUGAAGAAGUAUUUCGGUACGUAAAGCUCUAUCAGCAGGGAAGAAAAUGACGGUACCUGACUAAGAAGCCCCGGCUAACUACGUGCCAGCAGCCGCGGUAAUACGUAGGGGGCAAGCGUUAUCCGGAUUUACUGGGUGUAAAGGGAGCGUAGACGGCAGCGCAAGUCUGGAGUGAAAUCCCAUGGCUUAACCAUGGAACUGCUUUGGAAACUGUGCAGCUAGAGUGCAGGAGAGGUGAGCGGAAUUCCUAGUGUAGCGGGGAAAUGCGUAGAUAUUAGGAGGAACACCAGUGGCGAAGGCGGCUUACUGGACUGUAACUGACGUUGAGGCUCGAAAGCGUGGGGAGCAAACAGGAUUAGAUUCCCCAGUAGUC